This is a non-coding RNA of Puma concolor (puma), 989 nucleotides long. The record is from RefSeq and is a predicted model, not a curated record. NCBI's taxonomy places the organism in Eukaryota, Metazoa, Chordata, Mammalia, Carnivora, Felidae.
AAGAGAAUUUUACACCACGUGGGAAUGGCGGUACAGGACUGCGAUCUGACGUCCUUGAAGGUGCCUCACCAAACUGAUGGUUCCUAGACCUAAAUAAAAAGAGAAUAGAGAAAUGGACGACCCAUCCAGCACCGUGGCAAAUUCAGAUGGCCCCAAAAGAGUGGAGAGGAGUAUGAGAAAAGGGAAGUCCAGACUGGACAGGCUUCGGACACCAUGUUUGCUUCCAUCUCAGUUGGCUUCUCAUCAUGAUCACGAGAUCAAUGCUUCUAUUACAACAAUCACAUGAAAAAAAAUCCAAUGUAAGAAGAGGCAUUAUUCUUCUGAUUUAGUCAGAGGGGAAAUGCCACCUGAGGUCUGAGCGCACAUGUGACAGAAAUCCUGGGAGAGAAGCACCGUCGUGAACUUGUUCUUGAAGGAAUUGAGGGGUCUGCAUAGGCCGAGAAAUUGGGAUUCGUGGCAGCAGGAGUGGCCAUGAUCCAGGGAUGAGUGCUAGCGAGCAAGAAAGAGGCAGAGCUGACCAGACUCCACAAGAGGAGGGUUGUAUUUAGGAUCCAUGAGAAAUAAGUACUUAAACAUAAGAAUGAGAAAUUGGGGGCUGGUCACAUAAUCUUGGAAUAAUUGGGAGGAGAUGCAUUUAUCUUUCUCCCAUACUCAGGAGUCGAGUGGCCUGGAUUUGUUUCAGGGGCUGUAACAAUUCAUUUUAGAUCGGCCGGGCCAUGGCACCCAGUCGUUUGUUCCAGCACCAGUUUAGAGGUGGUUUGUUCCGUGAGACUAGCAUUUAAGUCAGCAGAGUUUUGAGUAAAGCAGGUACCCUCUGUAAUGUUUGGGCCUCAUCCAAUCAGAUGAGGGCCUUAAGAGAGACUGGCUGAGGUUCCCCAAAUUCUGCCUCCAGGCUGCCUUUGCAUCGACCGCAGCAUCAGCUCUUCCCGGGGUCCAGCCUGUUGGCCUGUCUGCAGCUUUUGGACUUGCCAGCCUCCAUGAGCCAUUUC